AAAAAAACAAAAAAGUUAAAAACUGUUUACUGUUAUAUAGGUCUUUACACUGUUCAUUUAGUUAGCUGAGGGGGACAGAGGCAGUAAUAUAAGCACCAUAGUUUCUAUAGAUUACUAAGCCUCCUGUAAAUGUCUGGGUUUAGACUAUUUUCUAAAGAUAUGACUAUGUUGAAUCUAGUAAACUUGUAGAGGGGAUGGAACUGCCUUUUCUCUUGUAGUUUUACAUACUUUUGACCAGCCGAGUUAGUGCUGGCUGCAGAUAAAGUUUUAAUUGUUGGUGNAAUCACGAUUAAAACGUUGUUUUUGAAUACGAUUACUUUUUAAACGUUGUAAGUAAUGAUUAAAAAGUAACAAAUUAAAGACCGUUAAAAUAACAAUAAUUUUAGUAGAAUUUAACAGUCACUUCCGCUAACGUUUAACAGACACAAGCUUUGUCCUCCGGAGGACGCAGUUGGUUACAGCUGGGCGAGGCCUGCAGGUAACUUAGGCUGUGUACCUUUAUCUCUCUCACGGCUGUCUUUUCAACCUCGACACUGAAGGAGAGCGGUUCACUCCUCGACAAUUCUGCUAAAACUUUGUGAAAUGUCUUUAAAUUUUUCGACAAAAAGUGUCAUUGCAGGUCUGCUGCAGUUCUUGGCUGUUGUUCAAGUGUUUGCUGAGGCCAAAACCUACACCAAGCAAAUCUGAAACUGUAGCAAUGCCCCGAACACUGUUGGUCAGCUGACAGAGCAGUCGGGGUAUUUGGUUCUGACCAUUCAGAACAUCAGUCCAUUAGAUGGGUUUGAUGCCUACAAAUGGGACAAAGGGGGAAAAACAACUCUUCUGAAGAAUUUUACUCUUGAUGAAGUUCUCCUGACCACUGCAACACCUGAUCUGACAGAUGAAGCACUGAACACAAGCAUCACUCAGACAGUUCCCACAACCUUCAUAAUACCUGAUCUGACAACUGAAACAACCAAUCAGACAGGGCCUCUUAUGACCAACACUGCUAAAGUAUUUACUGGACUAGGAGUUCUAGGAGUUCUAGUAGCUCUAACGGUCACUUUUUUCAGAAGGAGGUGUUGUGGCCCACCGCCGCACCAGCAGCAAGCCGGUUCCAUCGAGAUGCAGAAUUUCCUGCCAAAUCCAGGUAUGCAUUUAAACAGUUUUGAAUUUAUUGUCAGCAGUUGUGAACUGAUUUGGCUGUAAGCCGUAAUCCAGGUUUAGCUGCACCAGGCUUUUGAUCAAUAUUUACACCUGUUGCACCAUCUAAAACUGACUAGGCACAGAUAUACCUAGAAUAAGUGAUGCACAUUAACGCUGACCAAUUCUACCACAGUAAGAGAGGCCAUUCACAUUAUAUAUAUAUAUAUUGCUUAUUAAAACUGUGAGCAACUUACAUUCAUCUUCUUUACAGUAUCAGAUCAGCAGAUAGACAAGAUACCUAAAUUAUAUAUUACAAAUAUCCAAGUGAUCAUUAUUAAAUCUGAGUACAGAUGUUUGUAAAGUAUGCAUAUUUAACUUAAUUCAUACAGUUAUUCACUCUGGUUAUGUAAUUGAUGUAUUAUACUAUAUUGCCUUUAUUAUUACAGUAAAAUAAUUCAACAAAGUUUUGGUUAUUUCAAAACUCUUAAGACAAAUUAAACAUUGAUUAAAUUAUCAUUACAUUCAAGAAUAUAUACAAGUGACUCUUAAUUUAUGUGCAAACUGUCAUGUCAAAUAAAAAUCCAUAGAAUUUGUGUUGUCCA
Molecule: long non-coding RNA, 1727 nt
Organism: Cyprinus carpio (common carp)
Lineage: Eukaryota; Metazoa; Chordata; Actinopteri; Cypriniformes; Cyprinidae
Source: Ensembl